RNAcentral lists this non-coding RNA (85 nucleotides) under Lentibacillus persicus. RNAcentral's name for it is "GEMM cis-regulatory element". It matches the Rfam family "c-di-GMP-I-GGC riboswitch aptamer". The record is from RNAcentral. Lineage: Bacteria; Bacillati; Bacillota; Bacilli; Caryophanales; Bacillaceae.
AUCAGUAAAAGGCAAACCCAUCGAAAGCUGGGGACGCAAAGUCACAGGUCUUCCAUGACAGGGUGAUGACGGCUGGACUGCCUGC